RNAcentral lists this ribosomal RNA (497 nucleotides) under uncultured bacterium. RNAcentral's name for it is "partial 16S ribosomal RNA". It matches the Rfam family "Bacterial small subunit ribosomal RNA", at positions 28 to 507 of the family's 1533-position model. The record is from RNAcentral.
GAUGAACGCUGGCGGCGUGCCUAAUACAUGCAAGUCGAGCGAACGGACGAGAAGCUUGCUUCUCUGAUGUUAGCGGCGGACGGGUGAGUAACACGUGGAUAACCUACCUAUAAGACUGGGAUAACUUCGGGAAACCGGAUCUAAUACCGGAUGAUAUUUUGAACCGCAUGGUUCAAAAGUGAAAGACGGUCUUGCUGUCACUUAUAGAUGGAUCCGCGCUGCAUUAGCUAGUUGGUAAGGUAACGGCUUACCAAGGCAACGAUGCUUAGCCGACCUGAGAGGGUGAUCGGCCACACUGGAACUGAGACACGGUCCAGACUCCUACGGGAGGCAGCAGUAGGGAAUCUUCCGCAAUGGGCGAAAGCCUGACGGAGCAACGCCGCGUGGGUGAUGAAGGUCUUCGGAUCGUAAAACUCUGUUAUUAGGGAAGAACAUAUGUGUAAGUAACUGUGCACAUCUUGACGGUACCUAAUCAGAAAGCCACGGCUAACUACGUG